Molecule: ribosomal RNA, 407 nt
Filed under: uncultured Kineosporiaceae bacterium
Lineage: Bacteria; Bacillati; Actinomycetota; Actinomycetes; Kineosporiales; Kineosporiaceae
Description: bacterial SSU rRNA
Rfam family: Bacterial small subunit ribosomal RNA
Source: RNAcentral
AGUGGGGAAUAUUGCGCAAUGGGCGAAAGCCUGACGCAGCGACGCCGCGUGGGGGAUGAAGGCCUUCGGGUUGUAAACCUCUUUCAGCGCCGAAGAAGCGAAAGUGACGGUAGGCGCAGAAGAAGCACCGGCUAACUACGUGCCAGCAGCCGCGGUAAUACGUAGGGUGCAAGCGUUGUCCGGAAUUAUUGGGCGUAAAGAGCUCGUAGGCGGUCAGUCGCGUCUGCUGUGAAAACUCGGGGCUUAACUCCGGGCCUGCAGUGGGUACGGGCUGACUAGAGUGCGGUAGGGGAGACUGGAAUUCCUGGUGUAGCGGUGAAAUGCGCAGAUAUCAGGAGGAACACCGGUGGCGAAGGCGGGUCUCUGGGCCGUAACUGACGCUGAGGAGCGAAAGCGUGGGGAGCGAA